UGUCUCCUCCACCUCCUCCAAUGGUGGAUUCAGGCCCGGGGCCGCAAGGUCCCGGGCUUCUUUU
Molecule: non-coding RNA, 64 nt
Filed under: Rubrivivax gelatinosus IL144
Lineage: Bacteria; Pseudomonadati; Pseudomonadota; Betaproteobacteria; Burkholderiales; Sphaerotilaceae
Description: Betaproteobacteria toxic small RNA
Rfam family: Betaproteobacteria toxic small RNA
About the family: Overexpression in amino aid rich medium attenuates growth, suggesting role in repressing amino acid intake and metabolism.
Source: Rfam by way of RNAcentral